AGCAGUAGCCACGGGAAUACGUAGGGGGCAAGCGUUAUCCGGAAUUACUGGGUGUAAAGGGAGCGUAGACGGUUAAACAAGUCUGAAGUGAAAUGCCGGGGCUCAACCCCGGAGCUGCUUUGGGAACUGUAGAACUGGAGUGUCGGAGGGGUAAGCGGAAUUCCCAGUGUAGCGGUGAAAUGCGUAGAUAUUGGGAGGAACACCGGCGGCGAAGGCGGCUUACUGGACGACAACUGACGUUGAGGCUCGAAGGCGUGGGUAGCAAACAGGAUUAGAUACCCCAGUAGUCCCUGUCUCUUAUAC
This 303-nucleotide ribosomal RNA is filed under the name uncultured bacterium. RNAcentral describes it as "partial 16S ribosomal RNA". It matches the Rfam family "Bacterial small subunit ribosomal RNA", at positions 507 to 807 of the family's 1533-position model. The record is from RNAcentral.